RNAcentral lists this long non-coding RNA (560 nucleotides) under Exaiptasia diaphana. Its description in RNAcentral is "uncharacterized LOC110251724, transcript variant X2". Lineage: Eukaryota; Metazoa; Cnidaria; Anthozoa; Actiniaria; Aiptasiidae. The record is from RNAcentral.
CCUGUCAUACUUCGAGGAUCUUCAGUGCACAACGUAAAUUCAAAGAUCAGCCAUUUUUAAAUCAGAAAUAGCAUGUUAAAGGUGUAGGGGUUAAGCAUAUGUCGACGUCACUCCGACAAGAAUCCAAGAUCGCUGUUGUUUUCAUCUUUGAGAUGUGAUCUCGACGACAUAGCGCGCGAUCUGAGGAGACGUUGAAUGCUGUGAAAUUGAACUAAAAUGAGCAGAAAAGAAAAACUGUUGAAAUCUUGAACUCAAGACGAAUCAGAGGUCGAACUGAUGAACGCUAGCACACCAACACAGGGUAGUCGUCGACCAAUGGACAGGAACGAGGAUACAGCUGCUGUGGUAUUCUUUUCUUUCUCUCUUUCAUUUUUAACUGAUAUAUUCGUUUAAUUUCACUUAUUACUAAUAACUAAUGACUCACUCAUAUCACAACAUUCAUGUAAUUAUCACUAACCCAACUAACCACUGAUAAGUUUCCAGGACUUAGCAACGUUGUUAAAAGUUUGCUGAACUAAAUCAAAAUUAUUGUAAAUCGUGAAUUAAUUGUUUAGUUGAUU